This 421-nucleotide ribosomal RNA is filed under the name Salmonella enterica. RNAcentral's name for it is "bacterial SSU rRNA". It matches the Rfam family "Bacterial small subunit ribosomal RNA", at positions 1 to 418 of the family's 1533-position model. The record is from RNAcentral. Lineage: Bacteria; Pseudomonadati; Pseudomonadota; Gammaproteobacteria; Enterobacterales; Enterobacteriaceae. RNAcentral also lists the same sequence under 11 other names.
AAAUUGAAGAGUUUGAUCAUGGCUCAGAUUGAACGCUGGCGGCAGGCCUAACACAUGCAAGUCGAACGGUAACAGGAAGCAGCUUGCUGCUUUGCUGACGAGUGGCGGACGGGUGAGUAAUGUCUGGGAAACUGCCUGAUGGAGGGGGAUAACUACUGGAAACGGUGGCUAAUACCGCAUAACGUCGCAAGACCAAAGAGGGGGACCUUCGGGCCUCUUGCCAUCAGAUGUGCCCAGAUGGGAUUAGCUUGUUGGUGAGGUAACGGCUCACCAAGGCGACGAUCCCUAGCUGGUCUGAGAGGAUGACCAGCCACACUGGAACUGAGACACGGUCCAGACUCCUACGGGAGGCAGCAGUGGGGAAUAUUGCACAAUGGGCGCAAGCCUGAUGCAGCCAUGCCGCGUGUAUGAAGAAGGCCUU